Molecule: ribosomal RNA, 717 nt
Filed under: uncultured fungus
Lineage: Eukaryota; Fungi
Description: eukaryotic LSU rRNA
Rfam family: 5.8S ribosomal RNA (bases 180-333)
Source: RNAcentral
GGUCUCGUAGUGACCUGCGGAGGGACAUUACCGAGUGAGGGCGCCCCGCGCGCCCGACCUCCCAACCCUUUGCCGACCGAACCGCGUUGCCUCGGGGUGCCGGCGCCCGCGCCGCCCCCAAGAGGACCCAACCGAAACCCUGCGUCUUUGCGUCGGAGUCACUUUGAUAAAUCAAUCAAAACCUUCAACAACGGAUCUCUUGGUUCUGGCAUCGAUGAAGAACGCAGCGAAAUGCAAUAAGUAAUGUGAAUUGCAGAAUUCAGUGAAUCAUCGAAUCUUUGAACGCACAUUGCGCCCCCUGGCAUUCCGGGGGGCAUGCCUGUUCGAGCGUCAUUACACCAAUCAAGCCCGGCUUGGAUGGGGGCGGCGGGGACCACCCCCGCGCCCCGAAUUCGUCGGCUGGACGGACGGAAUCUCAGCGUUGUGAUCUCUCAAUUCGCUCACGAGGACGCCCGGACGCGCCGUUAAAAUUGAAUCAGGUUGACCUCGGAUCGGGUAGGGAUACCCGCUGAACUUAAGCAUAUCAAAAGGCCGGAGGAAUUUUUCGUAGCUCGUACGCGCGAAGUGCUGCGCGGCGGUAAUGCUCCCGGCGCGGGUCCACGUGCGGAGGCCGUGAUGGGGCUUUUGUGUCGUCUAGGAGAUGCGGAAGAUGACCGAAGAUUAGUUUUUAUUUCGUAGACGGUCUUAAAGAUUGUUUUUUCUUAUAUGGCCAUACAA